RNAcentral lists this long non-coding RNA (4014 nucleotides) under Equus caballus (horse). RNAcentral describes it as "lncRNA (ENSECAG00000052301.1)". The record is from RNAcentral. Lineage: Eukaryota; Metazoa; Chordata; Mammalia; Perissodactyla; Equidae.
UCUAGGAUAGCCCUGGGAGAUAAUUCUUCAUGAAUAUUUUUAUACUUCUGCACAGUCUGGGGCUUUCUGAGCAAAGAACACUGGCAAACUUGGUUAAAGGAUGAUUAAAUAGCAAAUAUUCCUUAGAAGCUAGAGAUAGCGUAUUGCUCCAGAGAGAUUUAGAGACUUAUUUCUCAUGGAGUCAUGUGCUUUCAUUGCUGGUAGUAAUAACCUAGGGGCCUUCCCUCAGAUUCCCAGAGAGGAUUUGUUCACAUUCCAGAGCAAAAGUCUCUCUCUCUCUCUGUCUUUCCUUUCAGAAGGGAGGAGGGGCAGAUGUGCCAGCCGUCCUACGUAAGCUCAGAAUUUCAGGGAUCUUCUGCUGUGGUGCAGUCUUGCUGAAGGCACAGAUUACUUCUUUCUGGCUUUCAUUAUGUCACCUCAUGGGGACCAAGGCGGAGGGAACUAGCGCUAAGAUGCUAGGUGUACGUAUUCUUUGGAUCACAUCUCCCAAAAAACCAUGAGACUUUCAAGGUGACAUGUGCCUUCUUUGCACUGAAACCCAGAAUAUUGAGUGUGAUGCUAUUAACCAAAGCCCCUGGACUGAAGAAAGUGUUCUCUUGUGCACAGUGCACGGAAAUGGCAAGGAGUGGAUUGGAGGAGCUGUUCCCCGCAUCUUUCAAAGGCCUGAGUAGAAGAAGAAGGUGGAGGAAGGGCAAAUUCACUCUCUGCCUGAGCUGAGACAUCUGUCUUCUCCUGCCCUGGGACAUUGGCACUCUCGGUUCUUGGGCUUUCCGACAGACUAGAAGUUAUACCAUCAGCCCUGAUUCUCAGACCUUCAGAUUUUGACUGAAAUCACCAUGAGCUUUCCUGGUUCUUCAGCUUGCAGAUUUCAGAUCAUGGGACUUCGUGGCCUCCAUAACCACGGUUAAGGCACCAUUGUGCUGAGAGCACAACUCACCACUGUCGCCUGCCCUCAGCCUCUCCCAACAGAAACAGCAUGGAAGUGGAAGAGUUUGAAAAAGAACAAGGUGCUACAAACAAGUCAGGAAUUUGUUCUGCAGGCCUGUCAAGUCUAUAAAUAUCUAGAAUCCUGCUUACCAAGUAUUGGUGUGAGGGUUGAUGAUGAAACCGAUGCUCACAGAGUUGAAAUAAGCUGCUGAAGGUCAUGCAGUGACAAUGGGAAGAAGGAAAUAACCUGAGAGAGUGCACACCAAUCAUUUCAACGGCAAAAUCCAAAAGUGGCACACAUCGUUUCAGAUCCCAUCCCAUUGGUUGGGACAUAGUCACUGGUUUCACAUAGCUGCAAGAAAGGAUGGAAAAUGAAGUCGUUACCUGGACAGCUGAGCUAUGUGCUCAGCUAAAACUGAGAAAAGGGAUUUGGGGGCACAAUUAGCAAUCUGCCACAGCCUCCAAUGAAGGUCUUGGAAUCCAGAAGGUUGGCAAUCCAGAAGAGCAUUGUACAGCUGCCCCUUCAUUCUAUAAUUCCUGUCUCACUCAACUUUGAGCCUUUGAGAUGUCAGCAUUGGAAACGUUAGAGUCAGAUAGUGAAAGCUUUGCUAAUUUGACAAGGAAUGAAGGUUCAUUAAACUUCUAAAUGUGGCAUUUUUAUAGGUUAUGGCCAAACUGAAGUUGGCCAAGCGUGAAUAUCAUUAGCUGCAGUUUUGUUUGUACUCCAUAGUAUGUUGUUCCUCUCUCUCUCUCUCUCCCUCCCUCUCCUUAUCUACAUUUUCUUUCUGUUUUUGGGACUCUCCUUUUUGCAUCGAUAGGUACUCAAGAAAAAAAUUCAGGGUUUCAGUUGGAAAAAACAAGUUUUAAAGUAGAAUUUUCAACAAGACGCCUAAUGAACGGUGGUCUAUUCGCACAGCUGAACACCCUACUCACAAAUCUCUUUCUCUUAUAGAUUUGUGAGGAACAGGAGGUUAUAUUCUCUGCAUGGGAUUUUGCUUCUGGGCUAGGGUUGACUGCAAGUUUAUUGGAAUGAGCACUACGUUUUGUUUUGUUUUCACCAUAAGGGACUUCUGCAAGGAGCCCCAGUGCUCAUCACGUGCUGUGAGGAAAAUGGAGAGAGUUUGCAGAACAGUUCUCUCCCUUCAUUCAAAAUUAGGUUCAAGCUGAGAACCGCUGGUGAUUUUUCAAGUCCUGUUUUGGAUGAAAUAAGCAGACAUGUUUGAAUUAAUUAAUGUUGUAAGGCGACUCUUAGCACUGAGACUGAGCUAGUGCCUGAUAGAAGGAGCGCUGAGCCAGGAAUCACAAAACCCCUGUCCUAGCCUUGGCAUCGCCACCAACUCCUUGUGGGACCAUGAACAAAUCGCCAACAUUUCUGUGCCUUCGUUCCCCACUUACAUAAAUACAGAGAUAUUUGCACUUCUAGAAGAAGAAUGGUUGUGUCGAUACUCUGGUGUGACUUUGUUAUGAUAACACAGGAAGACUGAGGUGCAGUGGGCCCUUGCGAAUCAUCCUCCCCUCCAUGAACCAGGUGGAAUAGACCAUUCCCUUCUCAGAGACCCCUGGACCCUACAUCCUAGUACCCUAUACUAUAAGUCCUGCAAUAUUUGGUGGCUUAUAUUUUAUUUAUGGGUCUGCUUUCCCAUGGGCUUCUUAAAGAGUGUGCAUUUCUCAUUUGAUCGCUACAGUGCCUACUACUGUGGUUGGCACUUGAUAUUGGAUAAAUGAAUGAAAUAAAGCACACCCAAAGUUAGAUGGCUGGUCAGGGGCUGGUUAGUGGCUGGUUAGGGCUGGGUCAAGUCUGGUUACUCCCAGACCAGUCUUUUGCAUAUUUGACCUCUCCCUACUCUCAAGAAUAAGGGUGAAAUAGGACAUCAAACGUAAGAAGUGCUCACGCUCUGGAGAUUCUGGUGCAGGAGAGGAGUGGUUUCCUCUGCUCAGGCUUGUUCUGCUAUUUCAGCCUCUUGGUCCUUAAUGACGGUUUAUUCUCAUAGCACACUUCUCUCUCUCUUUUACCUCAAGAAUCUCUGCUUGGGAUAGAGGUGGGCAGAGGUUGGGCAGAGGUGCCUCAAGCCAAACCAAGGAGGAAGAUAUUGCACUGGGGCUCAGAGUACUUCAGAGGAGCUUUUGAUGUCGAAAUCCAAAGCGCACGAUAUCUGCUCUCCAGGGUGAGGGCUAACAUCAUCUCUCCAAGAUGAGGCUUGCAGCAGCUGCCCUAAGAAGGCAGAAUGUCUCACACCCUCGGAAUUAGACACUAGACACCAAGAGGCCUAUGGCUGGGGCUGUCUCUCAGGUCUUCACCUGACACUGCUCUGUCUGCUUAAGAAUGGGCUCCAUGGGGGCCGGCCCAUGGCUGAGUGGUUAAAGUUCCUCACACUCUGCUUCUGCAGCCCAGGUUCCCGGGUUCAGAUCCCAGGUGCAGACCUACUCCACUCAUCAGCCAUGCUGUGGAAGCAUCCCACAUACAAAAAGUAGAGGAAGAUUGGUGCAGAUGUUAUCUCAGGGCCAAUCCUCCUCACCAACAAAACAAAAAGAAGAAGAAGAAGAAGAAGAAGAAGAAGAAAAAGAAUGGGGUUCAUGCUCUGGUAGUCAAAAUAAGCACGCAAGACAGGGAAGGACAGAGGCCAGAGCCUCAAGAGGUCCUGAAAGGGGCUGCUUUUAGCACAUGGAGGGGAAUGAGAACCAAAGCCACAGCAACAGGCAUAGGAGGAAGGAAGGCUGCUGUGGGGUCACUGGGAGAAAGGCUUCCUGCCAUUGUCUGGCCACACGGGGUGGGUUGCAAAUAAAAAUAGGUGGAAUUCGAAGACUGCUUGUGUGCAUCUGGAGUCAGCUCCAUGCAGAGAAUCCAUUUGUGCUGUGAUUGGGGGCCGUGCAGAAAUGACUCAGGGCAUUUUAGCCCUGUGCAUAUGGGAUUCGGAGAUCGGCAGAGACCCAAGGAGAGAGAUUGAUAAACUCCAACCACACUCUGAGCCGUCGAAAGAAGAGUUGCUCAGCCUGUGAGUCCUAGCCAGCGAUGUUUGAUAGAACAGAGAACCACGCAAUACAAAACACUAGAGUCUGACACAACACCGAGGGCCAGGCACGGAGGCC